RNAcentral lists this ribosomal RNA (253 nucleotides) under uncultured bacterium. RNAcentral's name for it is "partial 16S ribosomal RNA". It matches the Rfam family "Bacterial small subunit ribosomal RNA", at positions 524 to 776 of the family's 1533-position model. The record is from RNAcentral.
UACGGAGGGGGCUAGCGUUGUUCGGAAUUACUGGGCGUAAAGGGCGCGUAGGCGGCGUCGUAAGUCAGGCGUGAAAGGCCCGGGCUCAACCCGGGAACUGCGCUUGAUACUGCGGCGCUCGAGUCCGGGAGAGGAUGGCGGAAUUCCCAGUGUAGAGGUGAAAUUCGUAGAUAUUGGGAAGAACUCCGGUGGCGAAGGCGACCAUCUGGACCGGUACUGACGCUAAUGCGCCAAAGCUUGGUGAGCAAACAGG